GACGAACGCUGGCGGCGUGCCUAAUACAUGCAAGUAGAACGCACAGUUUAUACCGUAGCUUGCUACACCAUAGACUGUGAGUUGCGAACGGGUGAGUAACGCGUAGGUAACCUGCCUGGUAGCGGGGGAUAACUAUUGGAAACGAUAGCUAAUACCGCAUAAUAUUAAUUAUUGCAUGAUAAUUAAUUGAAAGGUGCAAUUGCACCACUACCAGAUGGACCUGCGUUGUAUUAGCUAGUAGGUGAGGUAACGGCUCACCUAGGCGACGAUACAUAGCCGACCUGAGAGGGUGAUCGGCCACACUGGGACUGAGACACGGCCCAGACUCCUACGGGAGGCAGCAGUAGGGAAUCUUCGGCAAUGGACGAAAGUCUGACCGAGCAACGCCGCGUGAGUGAAGAAGGUUUUCGGAUCGUAAAGCUCUGUUGUAAGAGAAGAACGGGUGUGAGAGUGGAAAGUUCACACUGUGACGGUAUCUUACCAGAAGGGGACGGCUAACUACG
This 503-nucleotide ribosomal RNA is filed under the name uncultured bacterium. RNAcentral's name for it is "partial 16S ribosomal RNA". It matches the Rfam family "Bacterial small subunit ribosomal RNA", at positions 28 to 505 of the family's 1533-position model. The record is from RNAcentral.